RNAcentral lists this ribosomal RNA (479 nucleotides) under uncultured bacterium. Its description in RNAcentral is "partial 16S ribosomal RNA". It matches the Rfam family "Bacterial small subunit ribosomal RNA", at positions 28 to 507 of the family's 1533-position model. The record is from RNAcentral.
GAUGAACGCUGGCGGCGUGCUUAACACAUGCAAGUCGAACGAAGCACUUAAGAUUGAUUCUUCGGAUGACGUCUUUUGUGACUUAGUGGCGGACGGGUGAGUAACGCGUGGGUAACCUGCCUCACACAGGGGGAUAACAGUUAGAAAUGACUGCUAAUACCGCAUAACCCGAUAGGAUCGCAUGAUCCAGACGGAAAAGAUUUAUCGGUGUGAGAUGGACCCGCGUCUGAUUAGCUAGUUGGUGAGGUAACGGCCCACCAAGGCGACGAUCAGUAGCCGGGCUGAGAGGGUGAACGGCCACAUUGGGACUGAGACACGGCCCAAACUCCUACGGGAGGCAGCAGUGGGGAAUAUUGCACAAUGGGGGAAACCCUGAUGCAGCGACGCCGCGUGAGUGAAGAAGUAGUUCGGUAUGUAAAGCUCUAUCAGCAGGGAAGAAAAUGACGGUACCUGACUAAGAAGCCCCGGCUAACUACGUG